This 375-nucleotide ribosomal RNA is filed under the name uncultured Allobrachymonas sp. RNAcentral describes it as "bacterial SSU rRNA". It matches the Rfam family "Bacterial small subunit ribosomal RNA", at positions 1002 to 1382 of the family's 1533-position model. Lineage: Bacteria; Pseudomonadati; Pseudomonadota; Betaproteobacteria; Burkholderiales; Comamonadaceae. The record is from RNAcentral.
AGAUAGAGGAGUGCUCGAAAGAGAGCCGUAACACAGGUGCUGCAUGGCUGUCGUCAGCUCGUGUCGUGAGAUGUUGGGUUUAAGUCCCGCAACGAGCGCAACCCUUGUCAUUAGUUGCUACGAAAGGGCACUCUAAUGAGACUGCCGGUGACAAACCGGAGGAAGGUGGGGAUGACGUCAAGUCAUCAUGGCCCCUAUGUCCAGGGCUACACACGUGCUACAAUGGGCGAUACAGAGUGACGCGAAGCCGCGAGGUGGAGCAAAUCGCAGAAAAUCGCUCUCAGUUCGGAUUGGAGUCUGAAACCCGACUCCAUGAAGGUGGAAUCGCUAGUAAUCGCGCAUCAGCAUGGCGCGGUGAAUACGUUCCCGGGCCUU